UUCGCGGGGGGAAAGGUGCACACAGUCGCACUUCUCACACACUUACAUACAAAAUCCAAUCUGUAAUGACGACACAAAUACAUAGAAAAUGACACACGUCAAAGACAAAUCUUGCAAACCUCGAUCUCUUUUUGUGGUUCCGUAGCCAAAUGGCAAAAAACGGAACCGUUAUGGAUUCGUCAUGUCUGUCUGUCUGUCUGUCCGUCCGUAUGUCACAGCCACUUUUUUCCGAAACUAUAAGAACUAUACUGUUGAAACUUGGUAAGUAGAUGUAUUCUGUGAACCGCAUUAAGAUUUUCACACACAAAUAGAAAAAAAACAAUAAAUUUUAGGGGUUCCCCAUACUUAGAACUGAAACUCAAAAAUUGUUUUCUCAUCAAACCCAUACGUGUGGGGUAUCUAUGGAUAGGUCUUCAAAAAUGAUAUUGAGGUUUCUAAUA
Cydia splendana is the source of this 440-nucleotide long non-coding RNA. RefSeq lists it as uncharacterized. The transcript has 2 exons. Lineage: Eukaryota; Metazoa; Arthropoda; Insecta; Lepidoptera; Tortricidae. The record is from RefSeq and is a predicted model, not a curated record.